RNAcentral lists this non-coding RNA (29 nucleotides) under Homo sapiens (human). The record is from RNAcentral. Lineage: Eukaryota; Metazoa; Chordata; Mammalia; Primates; Hominidae.
UGGGAGGAAGCUCACCCCGGAUCUUGAGG